GCACCCAUUCACUGCAGAGGAUCCAUUGGUGAUUAUAAUGAGUUAAUUCACAGCAGUGAACUGCAGAUUUUGUCCUGACCUCGUCUGGCACUGAAGGGGGGAAGCCUGUCUGUCUGAUUAACUCAAUACAGCCAAACUGACAAUGAUGAAAGCCAACAGAAGAAAAAUACUACAGUGCUACAAAACCAUUCUUGACAUUCUUCUGAUGGGCAAGACCAUAGGCAGCUGUAUAUGUUUUAAUGGGUUAUCUGUCACUCCUAAAGCUGAAAGUCACCUUGCUGUCUUUCUCUUAUCUGUUCAUACUGGGAGUGAA
Sinocyclocheilus grahami is the source of this 313-nucleotide long non-coding RNA. RefSeq lists it as uncharacterized. The transcript has 3 exons. Lineage: Eukaryota; Metazoa; Chordata; Actinopteri; Cypriniformes; Cyprinidae. The record is from RefSeq and is a predicted model, not a curated record.